AUACUUACCUGGUAGGGGCGAUACCAUGAUCAAGAAGGCGGUUCACCCAGGGCGAGGCUCGUCCAUUGCACUCCGGCCGUGCUGAUCCCUGCGAAUUCCCCAAAUGUGGGAAUCUUGACUGGAUAAUUUAUGGUAGUGGGGGACUGCGUUCACGCUCUCCCCUG
Molecule: small nuclear RNA, 164 nt
Organism: Cyprinus carpio carpio
Lineage: Eukaryota; Metazoa; Chordata; Actinopteri; Cypriniformes; Cyprinidae
Gene: U1
Rfam family: U1 spliceosomal RNA
About the family: U1 is a small nuclear RNA (snRNA) component of the spliceosome (involved in pre-mRNA splicing). Its 5' end forms complementary base pairs with the 5' splice junction, thus defining the 5' donor site of an intron.
Source: Ensembl